This 736-nucleotide ribosomal RNA is filed under the name uncultured Methanosarcina sp. RNAcentral describes it as "bacterial SSU rRNA". It matches the Rfam family "Archaeal small subunit ribosomal RNA", at positions 82 to 816 of the family's 1478-position model. The record is from RNAcentral. Lineage: Archaea; Methanobacteriati; Methanobacteriota; Methanomicrobia; Methanosarcinales; Methanosarcinaceae.
CGUACUGCUCAGUAACACGUGGAUAACCUGCCCUUGGGACCGGCAUAACCCCGGGAAACUGGGGAUAAUUCCGGAUAACGCAUAUUUGCUGGAAUGCUUUAUGCGUCAAAAGGAUUCGUCUGCCCAAGGAUGGGUCUGCGGCCUAUCAGGUAGUAGUGGGUGUAAUGUACCUACUAGCCAGCGACGGGUACGGGUUGUGAGAGCAAGAGCCCGGAGAUGGAUUCUGAGACAUGAAUCCAGGCCCUACGGGGCGCAGCAGGCGCGAAAACUUUACAAUGCGGGAAACCGUGAUAAGGGGACACCGAGUGCCAGCAUCAUAUGCUGGCUGUCCGGAUGUGUAAAAUACAUCCGUUAGCAAGGGCCGGGCAAGACCGGUGCCAGCCGCCGCGGUAACACCGGCGGCCCGAGUGGUGAUCGUGAUUAUUGGGUCUAAAGGGUCCGUAGCCGGUUUGGUCAGUCCUCCGGGAAAUCUGAUAGCUCAACUAUUAGGCUUUCGGGGGAUACUGCCAGACUUGGAACCGGGAGAGGUAAGAGGUACUACAGGGGUAGGAGUGAAAUCUUGUAAUCCCUGUGGGACCACCUGUGGCGAAGGCGUCUUACCAGAACGGGUUCGACGGUGAGGGACGAAAGCUGGGGGCACGAACCGGAUUAGAUACCCGGGUAGUCCCAGCCGUAAACGAUGCUCGCUAGGUGUCAGGCAUGGCGCGACCGUGUCUGGUGCCGCAGGGAAGCCGUG